This 157-nucleotide non-coding RNA is filed under the name Toxocara canis (dog roundworm). Its description in RNAcentral is "Eukaryotic large subunit ribosomal RNA". It matches the Rfam family "Eukaryotic large subunit ribosomal RNA", at positions 3007 to 3161 of the family's 3401-position model. Lineage: Eukaryota; Metazoa; Nematoda; Chromadorea; Rhabditida; Toxocaridae. The record is from Rfam by way of RNAcentral.
GUUGUUGCGAUAGUAAUCCUGCUUAGUACGAGAGGAACCGCAGGUUCAGACAUUUGGUUCAUGUGCUUGGCCGAUCGGCCAAUGGUGCGAAGCUACCAUCUGAGGGAUUAUGACUGAACGCCUCUAAGUCAGAAUCCCGCCUAGUCAAGGCAACGAU